This 102-nucleotide non-coding RNA is filed under the name uncultured Dysosmobacter sp. RNAcentral describes it as "THF riboswitch". It matches the Rfam family "THF (Tetrahydrofolate) riboswitch aptamer". Rfam says of the family: THF riboswitch presents a pseudoknot that joins P1-P2 and the loop of P3 and two THF binding. Lineage: Bacteria; Bacillati; Bacillota; Clostridia; Eubacteriales; Oscillospiraceae. The record is from RNAcentral.
GCAGAGUAGGAACGCACGUGUGACCGCAGUGCCGGAAAAACGGGGAGUUGUUUUCCGGACGAAAGGGCGCAGGCCCGCAGUGUGCGUUCCGCAUCCCGCUGC